AAUCAAAGUUUAUGGGUUUAUAGUCAUAUGUUAAACUCCCCGGAAAGCAAUUAGCUUGAAUUUUCUUAUAGAGAGGACAUAAACAAUACUAAAUCGUCACGAAAUAGCUAUUCCAGGUUUCAGAAUAAUCAGAAUUGAGAGUUGGUCUUGUAGCCUGAGAGAGUCGCCUCUUAGAUCAUAACUAGUUGAUGGUGAUGCUUGGCUGGGCAUCAUCCUUGACUUGAGCCCAACUUAUUAUCGAGCCUUUUCUGAUGCUUAAGAGUUACGUAAGACCUUUUUGUCAUUCUUCAGUGCCAAGUCUAGAAUAAUUUCAAAACUAAUAAUUUAAGAAACAACCCAAUGACUUUUUGUUAUUCUUCAUUCCCUUCAUGUUUUUUGCUAUUUAACCAGUUAUAUUAAGAGUGUUCCAAAAAAAAAAAAAAAACCAGUUAUAUUAAGAUGAGGCUCGGUUCACUUUUAUAUCGAGUCCAAUUUAGCCCAAUAAUAUGUCAAGACGGGCCCGAUGAUUGUCGUAUUGUAUUAUAUAUCAAACAUCAUUCCCUUAAUACUCUCACUCAAGGUACCUACUACCUAAUAUUAAUACUUAGAUAGAGAGUCCAUUGUGACCCUUAGAGACGUAUCAAUUAUACAUAUGUAAUGAUUUCAUCGAAAUAGAACGAUUGAUAUCAUAACAAAGUAACCAUUGUUCAAAAACCUCGUGAAUAUUCACCAUAAUAUACAUUUACUAAUCAAACAUUUUAAAAAAAAAAUGUAUCGACAUAAAUUCGUUUUCUUAAAUACGUGUGUCAAGAAAGGUUGAUAGUUUGGCAAGAUAGGAUCUCUAUUGCUAUACCCUAC
RNAcentral lists this long non-coding RNA (837 nucleotides) under Brassica rapa (field mustard). RNAcentral describes it as "long non-coding RNA (BRAP_LNC003201)". The record is from RNAcentral. Lineage: Eukaryota; Viridiplantae; Streptophyta; Magnoliopsida; Brassicales; Brassicaceae.